CAGUAGCCACGGGAAUACAGAGGGUGCGAGCGUUAAUCGGAUUUACUGGGCGUAAAGCGUGCGUAGGCGGCUAAUUGAGUCGGAUGUGAAAUCCCCGAGCUUAACUUGGGAAUUGCAUUCGAUACUGGUUAGCUAGAGUGUGGGAGAGGAUGGUAGAAUUCCAGGUGUAGCGGUGAAAUGCGUAGAGAUCUGGAGGAAUACCGAUGGCGAAGGCAGCCAUCUGGCCUAACACUGACGCUGAGGUACGAAAGCAUGGGGAGCAAACAGGAUUAGAUACCCGAGUAGUCCCUGUCUCUUAUAA
RNAcentral lists this ribosomal RNA (301 nucleotides) under uncultured bacterium. Its description in RNAcentral is "partial 16S ribosomal RNA". It matches the Rfam family "Bacterial small subunit ribosomal RNA", at positions 509 to 809 of the family's 1533-position model. The record is from RNAcentral.